Molecule: ribosomal RNA, 484 nt
Filed under: uncultured bacterium
Lineage: Bacteria
Description: partial 16S ribosomal RNA
Rfam family: Bacterial small subunit ribosomal RNA
Source: RNAcentral
AUUGAACGCUGGCGGAAUGCUUUACACAUGCAAGUCGAACGGCAGCACGGGGGCAGCCCUGGUGGCGAGUGGCGAACGGGUGAGUAAUACAUCGGAACGUGCCCGGUCGUGGGGGAUAACGUAGCGAAAGUUACGCUAAUACCGCAUACGAUCUGAGGAUGAAAGCGGGGGACCUUCGGGCCUCGCGCGAUCGGAGCGGCCGAUGUCAGAUUAGGUAGUUGGUGGGGUAAAGGCCUACCAAGCCGACGAUCUGUAGCUGGUCUGAGAGGACGACCAGCCACACUGGGACUGAGACACGGCCCAGACUCCUACGGGAGGCAGCAGUGGGGAAUUUUGCACAAUGGGCGCAAGCCUGAUCCAGCCAUUCCGCGUGCAGGACGAAGGCCUUCGGGUUGUAAACUGCUUUUGUACGGAACGAAAAGGCUCUGGCUAAUACCUGGGGCUCAUGACGGUACCGUAAGAAUAAGCACCGGCUAACUACGUG